This 403-nucleotide ribosomal RNA is filed under the name Fusobacteriota bacterium. RNAcentral describes it as "Fusobacteria bacterium partial 16S ribosomal RNA". It matches the Rfam family "Bacterial small subunit ribosomal RNA", at positions 355 to 776 of the family's 1533-position model. Lineage: Bacteria; Fusobacteriati; Fusobacteriota. The record is from RNAcentral.
UGGGGAAUUUUGCACAAUGGAGGAAACUCUGAUGCAGCGACGCCGCGUGAGUGAUGAAGAUCUUCGGAUUGUAAAACUCUGUCCUUAGUGAAGAUAAUGACAGUAACUAAGAAGCAAGCCCUGGCUAAAUACGUGCCAGCAGCCGCGGUAAUACGUAUGGGGCAAGCGUUGUCCGGAAUUAUUGGGCGUAAAGGGUACGUAGGCGGUUUAAUAAGUCCUAAUUAAAAGGCUAUGGCUCAACCAUAGUAUGGUUAGGAAACUGUUGAACUUGAGUAGAAGAGGGGAGAGUGGAAUUCCAUGUGUAGCGGUGAAAUGCGUAGAUAUAUGGAGGAACACCAAUGGCGAAGGCAACUUUCUGGAAUCAAACUGACGCUGGGGUACGAAGGCGUGGGGAGCAAACAGG